Molecule: ribosomal RNA, 969 nt
Filed under: uncultured bacterium
Lineage: Bacteria
Description: bacterial SSU rRNA
Rfam family: Bacterial small subunit ribosomal RNA
Source: RNAcentral
GGGGCCGUUCGGAUAUUGGGCGUAAGAGCUCGUAGGCGGUUUGUCGCGUCUGCCGUGAAAGUCCGGGGCUCAACUCCGGAUCUGCGGUGGGUACGGGCAGACUAGAGUGAUGUAGGGGAGACUGGAAUUCCUGGUGUAGCGGUGAAAUGCGCAGAUAUCAGGAGGAACACCGAUGGCGAAGGCAGGUCUCUGGGCAUUAACUGACGCUGAGGAGCGAAAGCAUGGGGAGCGAACAGGAUUAGAUACCCUGGUAGUCCAUGCCGUAAACGUUGGGCACUAGGUGUGGGGGACAUUCCACGUUCUCCGCGCCGUAGCUAACGCAUUAAGUGCCCCGCCUGGGGAGUACGGCCGCAAGGCUAAAACUCAAAGGAAUUGACGGGGGCCCGCACAAGCGGCGGAGCAUGCGGAUUAAUUCGAUGCAACGCGAAGAACCUUACCAAGGCUUGACAUGGGCCGGACCGGGCUGGAAACAGUCCUUCCCCUUUGGGGCCGGUUCACAGGUGGUGCAUGGUUGUCGUCAGCUCGUGUCGUGAGAUGUUGGGUUAAGUCCCGCAACGAGCGCAACCCUCGUUCCAUGUUGCCAGCGCGUAAUGGCGGGGACUCAUGGGAGACUGCCGGGGUCAACUCGGAGGAAGGUGGGGACGACGUCAAAUCAUCAUGCCCCUUAUGUCUUGGGCUUCACGCAUGCUACAAUGGCCGGUACAAAGGGUUGCGACACUGUGAGGUGGAGCUAAUCCCAAAAAGCCGGUCUCAGUUCGGAUUGGGGUCUGCAACUCGACCCCAUGAAGUCGGAGCCGCUAGUAAUCGCAGAUCAGCAACGCUGCGGUGAAUACGUUCCCGGGCCUUGUACACACCGCCCGUCAAGUCACGAAAGUUGGUAACACCCGAAGCCGGUGGCCUAACCCCUUGUGGGAGGGAGCUGUCGAAAGGUGGGACUGGCGAUUGGGACUAAGUCGUAACAAGGUAACC